Molecule: ribosomal RNA, 253 nt
Filed under: uncultured bacterium
Lineage: Bacteria
Description: partial 16S ribosomal RNA
Rfam family: Bacterial small subunit ribosomal RNA
Source: RNAcentral
UACGGAGGGUGCAAGCGUUGUUCGGAAUCACUGGGCGUAAAGGGCGUGUAGGCGGUCCGCUAAGUCUGAUGUGAAAGCCCGGGGCUUACCCCCGGAAGGGCAUUGGAAACUGGCGGACUCGAGUCCCGGAGAGGAAGGUGGAAUUCCUGGUGUAGCGGUGAAAUGCGCAGAUAUCAGGAGGAACACCGGUGGCGAAGGCGGGUCUCUGGGCCGAUACUGACGCUGAGGAGCGAAAGCGUGGGGAGCGAACAGG